GUAUGUGGAGCGCAGCAUCCAAGCCAAGAGAAGAACACGCUCGAUAAAUCAAGACUCCUCCGGGCUCUCUACGCCAGUGGGGCAGCAGGUCAGUGCUGCUGUAAGGAUCACUCUCUCUCUCUCUCUCUCUGUCUCUCUUUCUUUCUCACUGAGAGGACAAAGAGAUCCUUUCGCUCCCCGUAAUAGCGCCCUCCUCAUACUACGAGAAAAAGAACGAAAGAGAGACAGAGUGAGAGAAAAAGAUAGAGAGAGAGAGAGAGAGAGAGAAGCCCUUUCCCUUCCAUUUCCUCGAGCAUAUCUACUUUUAUUUUUCUAAUUCUAAUUCUAAUACUAAGUAUACUUUUCUAUUAAUAUUUCUCUUUCCUCUUUCUCCUUCUAUUAUUAUUUCUCUCCUCCUCUUACUUCUUCUUCUCCUUCCAACGGACUCUUCGUAGUUACUAACUCUCCGCCUCUCUCUCUCUCUUUUUUCUUUAACCAACCCCCUAGUUACCUAUCCUCCUAUCGUCUCUAUGGUCGAAAAAGGGUAGGGAGGGGUAUAGUAGUCUGGAGGGGAGCGCAGCCGUCAUUGCAAAGAUGCAACUGUGCCUGUAAACUCUCUGCCACUGUGCAACGCAAGCGCAACGACGGGAUGCAGCUGUCGCGUGCUCGGUAUAUGUUCGAGGAACUCUGCAGAAGAAGACCGAUUAUAAACUCUCGUGUUGCUUGAUUUAUCUUUUUUUUUUUUUCUUCUUUUUUUUUCUUCGCUUAACAUCUUCGACAAAUUUGCUUACCCAUAGAUUAGGUGCAGCCUAGAGUACGAGUGUAUGGUCGUCAUCGGACGAUUGUAAGAGGAAGAAAAAAACAAAUAUAAAUUAUAAAGAAAAGAAAAAAAAGAGAAAAAAAUAGAAGAAAUAAAGAAAGGAAAAAAAAAGAAAGAAAUUUAGAAAGAUUAGAAAGCCAAGAAGAAGAUUAAGUGAGAUAGACGAUAAGCAGAUUCGUUUAAGAAACGAUCGAACGAUCAAAUGAAUGAAUGAAUGAAUGAAUGAAUGAAUGAAUGAAUGAAAUGAUUCACAAGUAAUCACGGCCGCUGAAACUGUUACGAGCUUUUGCGAGUUGGAGAGAGAGAGAGAGAGAGAGAGGGAGAGAAAGAGAAAGCAAGAAGAAGAGAGAGAGAGAGAUAGAGACAGAGAAACUUGUCUCUCUUCGAAUGUACUUACGACGAUCGCCGAUCUCGAAGUGGAGAUUGCACCGGUGCAACGAGUUCUACGUGCCGUGCAUAAUUUUGGAUAUAAGUGAGACAGAGAGAGAGAGAGAGAGAGAGAGAGAGAGAGAGAUAAGGAUAAAAUAAAUGAGAGAAGAAGGGGAAAAUAAUAAAAAAAAGUACCCUUCCCAUCUAUCGUGCUUGGAAAUCAGUAAAGAAAAGGAAGGAAGUAACAAAAGAGAAUUUUGAAAGAGGAGCCGCCACGGGCCAAUUCGAGUGGGAGAAAUUCUCGCAACAUGUGGUUAACGCGAAGUAACGACUCUGCGUUGUAACGUUACUGCUUAGACAGACAUAUUGUGGCUUUAGUGCUCGCAAGUAUAUAUGUAUAUAUAUAUAUAUAUAUAUAUAUAUAUAUGUACAUACAUUUAUUAUAUAGAAAAAAAAGUCUUGAAAAUUCAACACGAAGGUUCCAACUCUACUUGACACAACUCUCUUUCAGUUCUCUCUCCCUCUCUCUCUCUCUUAGCUCUCUUUUUCUUAUUACAAAAAAUAUUAAUUACACGUAGAAUUCACGAAGAAUUAUUUCCAAGAUCAUAUUCGCGUGAUCGCGAAUAUUACGUUUCAUAGUGAACGUUUAAAUAAUAUUUUCUAAGAAAGAAUUUUCAUUAUCUAAAGUUUAUAUAUUAUGUUUAUCUUAUCGUUUCGUUUUGUUUUGUAUUGUUUUCGAGAAGAAUAUGUUUAAAAAAGAAGUUUAGAAGCUUAUCGUAGAGAAAAUCGAUGCGGAUGGUUCGAUGUCCGUAUUUAAAGCUUUUUUGAAUACACCCACACGCCCAGUUCGAUUCGUAGCACAAGCUCCAGUCCGCAGAAACGACGUAAAUUUCACGCGUAUUUACGUUUAUACGAUCUUGUGUUCGCAAAAAAAAAGAGAGAAAGAGAGAGAGAGAAAGAGAAAGGGUGGCUCUAAAAAUCUCUCGACCGAGAAAAAAAGAACUUGAAGCUUGGCGUUAAAAAAUAAACGAAAACAGGAAAAAAGGAACAACAAUAACAAGGACAUAAAAUAUUCUCUUGUUAUGCGAACUUUUUAUGAGACUGAAAAUGAUCGAAAUUUACAAAGAAAUUUGUUCUCUCGUCGGAAUUGUUCGGAUUAUUUAUUAUUAUUAACCAAAAAGUAAUUUUUAUUUAUUUUAUUUUAUUUAUUUAUUUUUUUUCUUUUUUUUUCAAACGAACGAACGAACGAACGAAACUUCGUAAAUAUCGAAAAGAAAGAGAGGGAAAGAGAGAGAGAGAGAGAGAGAGAGAGAGAGAGGGAGGGAGGGAGAGAGAGAGGACGGAGGGAAGGGAGAGAUCGUAUCGCGCUACAUUUUGCGACUGCAUCCACGUGCGAUCGUUUUACUCACGAUAAAUGUACGUAUCGCAAAGAGAAGAGAAAGAACUCUCGCGACGAGAGUAGUCACGCAACGAGUUUGCUAUCCGAUGUAUCUACCUACGUGACGUGCCACCCCUGUCGGCAGAUUAUCGCGAAAGAUGUCUAAGGCGAUCUCCUCUCCUUCUUUUCUAAACGACCGAACGGAAGGAAAUUUUUGGAAAGGCACGUAUAUCCAUUAUUAUCAAAUUUUACAUUUACGUGACGGCGCAAAGAUCCAAAAUUUUCGAAUCAAUUAUAAUCGUUCUUGUCGUUUUAACCAUCAAUGAUUUACGUAACGUCAUUAAAUUCAUUAUUAAUUGACAAUACUUAAAUAUACGCUUAAGAUUAUAUAAAAUUUAUUUUAUAGAAAUGAAAAACAUGGUCCUUUCUGUCCACUUCGAAUUUAUUCUUCUGAAAAAUCACUGACACGUACUACUAAUAUUGUAAAACAUUCCCAAAAAUACUAAUCCAGACUUUCUAUAAUACGUUCAUUUUGGUAUUUAUCGAUUUAACAGUAGUCUUGUUAGCGUAAUAUAUGGAUAACAAAAACUUAACGGUUUUUUCAGUCACUGGAAAUAAUAUCAGUAUCAAAAUCAAACCGGUUUUAAAUCCCUAGAUGGGGGUGUUUAUUACCGAGUAUAAAGGUGUGUCUAUAUGUUUGAAUUGGAGGGGAGUUUUACCGAAAAGGGGGUUAUAACUAAAGAGGGGAUGCCUAUCCGUAACUUCAACAGAAAGUUGCCACUCCCCUAUCAAAGUAAGCCACGCCCCAUCAAAGUGAACCACGCCCCAUCAAAGUGAACCACGCCCUAUAAAAGUGAACCACGCCUCACCGAAGAUAGUCAUGCCCUACCGUUAAGUUACCCAAGACCCCACCAAAGUUAGAACCGCCCUCUGGUAAGUUAGCCUGCUCCUUCACCAAUUGGUCCUGCCCCCACUCUAUUUAAACCCGCCCCCUCCAAAAUUAGUCAUGCCCAACCCCAACGCCCUGAAGACAAUUAACCACGCCUUUUCUCUAGUUAAAUACGUCCCCAUUCUUGUUAUCCACGCCUCCUUCUAAGUUAGUCACGACCCCGUCGAAAUUAAUAAGACUCUCUCCGUUAUUAGCCACGCCCCUGUUAAAGUUAGUCACUCCCUCAUCGCCGCAGAACUUCCCCCGGCGCCAAUGACAACGCCCUUACCUUAGUAAAACACUCCCUUUCCAUAAACUUAAAGCCGAUAUGAUUUUUAUUUUGUUAUUGUACCAAUGAAGCUAUAUCAAAAAUGAUAAGUGAACGAAAUGAAUAAAUACCGAUAUUUUUUUCUUUUCCUAAUACAAUAUGUUAAGACUAAGAAGUAUUUUUCUCUACAAUGAAGUAAAUUUAUAAUAUAAGUCAUAUUUUAUUUUAAAAAGUAAUAAAAGUAGAAGAAUUAAGAAAAAUUGAAUAAAAAAAGAAUCGAUUAAAUGUUUGCGAGAAGAUCAAGGAAAACGAUCGAGAAAGAAUCUUUCGAUCUUACUAAGGCUCUGUCGGGUCGUGCGAGGCAGUUAGUCGCAUUAGCGCCGCAAUGAAAGCGUAGCUCGCACCCGAGGUCUGCAAUCGUUUUCGAUCGGUGCACGCUCGAAUGCACUCGCGUUCGCGAGCCAGGCCGAUCUUAAUUACAAUCGCAAAUGAGACGGCGAGCGGAUAAUUGCGGACUAUGUUGCAAGUAUCCACAAAGUUGUUCGACCGUUUAUCCUGAGCAAAGCUACUCUGCAUUGCCACGAAUCGAUCUCUAAUAUAUGGAUUUAGACUUACUAAAUCUAAUCGAUUUUUUUCCUUUUUUUUUAAUAUUGACAUAAAAGUAAUGUUAAGGUAUAAUUAUGAACACAUAGUAAUUUAUACAUUAAAAUUAUUAAUAUCAAUGAAAGAAAAUGUUGAAAGAAUUCAUGUAAAUAAACUGUUAAAUGUUGCUUAGAAACAACUACUGAAUAUUAGAAAAAUAUUGUAUACUUGUUAUAAAAUGUCCGAUACAUAUUCAUUAAAAGUAACACACUGAUGUAACAAAAUUCAGAAUCAGGAAAUACAUUAAACGUUGCUGAGCAACACGAUACGUAAAUCGUUGAUAAGAAUAGCUGGUGUACAUGUAGAUUAAAAAAAAAAAAAAAAAAAAAAAGAAAAAAAAAAGAAAAAAAAACAGAAAAAAAAGAAUAAA
This is a long non-coding RNA of Vespa crabro (European hornet), 4754 nucleotides long. RefSeq lists it as uncharacterized. Lineage: Eukaryota; Metazoa; Arthropoda; Insecta; Hymenoptera; Vespidae. The transcript has 5 exons. The record is from RefSeq and is a predicted model, not a curated record.